Molecule: long non-coding RNA, 1783 nt
Organism: Lycium ferocissimum
Lineage: Eukaryota; Viridiplantae; Streptophyta; Magnoliopsida; Solanales; Solanaceae
Exons: 3
Source: RefSeq, a predicted model, not a curated record
UUUGGGCCCAAUUACAACCAAAUUGGGCUCAUAUUUUGAGGUUCUUUCUUAAAAUGGCCUACUGUCUAUGUAGAGUUAAAAUUACUUUGCAGCCGUUAACCCAAAUUAAAACUUCAACGUUUUCAUUGCUCACAGUACAAUUCCUUUAUUCUUUCUUCUUCUCUAAUUUCAACUUCAACAGGUAUAUCUCCAUUGUCCAGUACCUCCCCAUUUGGUUUUAUGUUUUCAUUUUUCGUUUAGGUAUAUCUCCAUUGUCCCUCACCCGCAUUCAAUUUGAAUUUGUUGAAUAGAAUAUGUAGGAGAAUGUUGUUUGAAGCUGAAAAACGUGGCUGUCUAUUGAUUUAAGGCUGGGAAUAUGAACUGGAAGCAGAAACUCCAUAGAACGGCCAUUGUUGAAGCUCGAUGUUUCAAAAUUUGAAAGUCGGGUUUCUGCAAAUAAGCUCCGUUUUGAGUGAGUAUUGUUGCAAAAGAUCGAAUACGUAUUGAGGAGCCUACAUCUGAAUUUUAGGGUGUUAUUUGAUGUAGCAUUUUAGGCAUUUUGGAUGAAUUUGGUGCUUGGAUUCAACAAAGAAGACGAAAUCAGCUUUUGUAUAAUAUUGUAUACUAGCGUAUAUGGGUGUAUAAACACCUCUUAUACACUAUUAUACAAUAUUGAUACAAUGUUGACAUGUAUUUGGUGGAUUUCUCACUACUACUACUACUACUUCUAUGGUGUUGUCAAUGUUCAAGGAGAGGACAAGAAGAAGCUAGAUUUUCUCUCUAACGGGGUUUAAUUUAAACUUAUUGUUUUUGGACAAAUCUUUGCAAUGUAAGUUAUGGGCUAUAUUUUUGUAAUGUAAGUCAGCCAAUUGUAUGUUCAUGAAAUUUCCCUUUGAUUACCCUAUAUAUCAAUUUGGGCCCAGUUACAACCAAGUUGGGCCUAUAUUUGAGGUUCUUUCUUAAAAUGGCCUACUGUCUAUGUAAAGUUAAAAUUACUUUGCAUCCGUUAACCCACGUAAGACUUCAACAUUUUCAUCGCUCACAUUACAAUUCCUUUGUUUUUUCUUCUUGUCUGAUUUCAACUUCAACAGGUAUAUCUCCAUUGUCCCUUACUCGCAUUCAAUUCGAAUUGUUGAAUAUAAUCUGUAGGAGAAUGUUGUUUGAAGCUGAAAAAACAUGGCUAUCCAUUGAUUUAAGGCUGAGAAAGUGAACAGCAAGCAGAAACUCCAUAGAACGGCCAUUGUUGUAGCUCGAUGUUUCAAAGUUUGAAAAUCGGGUUUCUGCAAAUAAGCUCCAUUUUGAGUGGGUAUUGUUGCAAAAGACCGGGUAUGUAUUGAGGAGCCUAAAUCUGAAUUUUAGGGUGUGAUUUGAUGUAGCAUUUGAGGUAUUUUGGAUGAACUUGGUGCUUGAAUUCAACAAAGAAGACGAAGUCAGCUUUUGUAUUAUAUUGUAUACCAACGUGGCAGCGUAUAUGGGUGUAGAGUAUAAACAUCUCUUAUACACUAUUAUACAAGAUUGAUACAAUGUUCUUGUGUGGACUUCUUCUUCUUCUUCUUCAAGGAGAGGACAAGAAGCUUGAUUUUUUCUCUAACGGGGUUUAAUUUAAACCUAUUGUUUUUAGCCAAAGCUUUACAAUAUAAGUUAUGGGCUAUAUUUUUGCAAUGUAAGUCAGCCAAUUGUAUGUUCCUGAAAUUUCCCCUAAAAGUUAGGACAGAUUAUUGAAUUUAUUUUCCAAAAUUGCAUUGUAGUAAUUGCAGCUACAGACGCACUUAAAUAGUUACCUUGUAUUUUAUUAUAUAACAUU